Molecule: ribosomal RNA, 485 nt
Filed under: uncultured bacterium
Lineage: Bacteria
Description: bacterial SSU rRNA
Rfam family: Bacterial small subunit ribosomal RNA
Source: RNAcentral
AACCGAGAACUCCUACGGGAGGCAGCAGUGGGGAAUAUUUGACAAUGGGCGAAAGCCUGAUCCAGCCAUGCCGCGUGUGUGAAGAAGGUCUUCGGAUUGUAAAGCACUUUAAGUUGGGAGGAAGGGCAUUAACCUACUACGUUAGUGUCUUGACGUUACCGAAAGAAUAAGCACCGGCUAACUCUGUGCCAGUAGCCGCGGUAAUACAGAGGGUGCAAGCGUUAAUCGGAAUUACUGGGCGUAAAGCGCGCGUAGGUGGUUUGUUAAGUUGAAUGUGAAAUCCCCGGGCUCAACCUGGGAACUGCAUCCAAAACUGGCAAGCUAGAGUAUGGUAGAGGGGAGUGGAAUUUCCGGUGUAGCGGUGAAAUGCGUAGAUAUAGGAAGGAACACCAGUGGCGAAGGCGACUACCUGGACUGAUACUGACACGGAGGUGCGAAAGCGUGGGGAGCAAACAGGAUUAGAAACCCGAGUAGUCCGACUGAGA